GUCGCAGGCCGGGUGACCGCGGGCCCCUCGGGGCUCGAGGAAAGUCCGGACACCGCAGGGCAGGACGCUCCCGCGAGGGAGGCGGCGAAAGCCGACGGAAAGUGGCACAGAAAGGAGACCGCCGGCAGCGCAUCUCCGGAGACGCUGACGGUAAGGGUGAAACGGUGGGGUAAGAGCCCACCAGCGGCCGCGGCGACGCGGCCGGCUCGCCAAACCCCGUCCGGUGCAAGG
Molecule: RNase P RNA, 231 nt
Filed under: Acidobacteriota bacterium
Lineage: Bacteria; Pseudomonadati; Acidobacteriota
Description: partial RNase P RNA component class A
Rfam family: Bacterial RNase P class A
About the family: Ribonuclease P (RNase P) is a ubiquitous endoribonuclease, found in archaea, bacteria and eukarya as well as chloroplasts and mitochondria. Its best characterised activity is the generation of mature 5'-ends of tRNAs by cleaving the 5'-leader elements of precursor-tRNAs.
Source: RNAcentral